Molecule: ribosomal RNA, 2906 nt
Filed under: Escherichia coli
Lineage: Bacteria; Pseudomonadati; Pseudomonadota; Gammaproteobacteria; Enterobacterales; Enterobacteriaceae
Description: 23S ribosomal RNA
Rfam family: Bacterial large subunit ribosomal RNA
Source: RNAcentral
GGUUAAGCGACUAAGCGUACACGGUGGAUGCCCUGGCAGUCAGAGGCGAUGAAGGACGUGCUAAUCUGCGAUAAGCGUCGGUAAGGUGAUAUGAACCGUUAUAACCGGCGAUUUCCGAAUGGGGAAACCCAGUGUGUUUCGACACACUAUCAUUAACUGAAUCCAUAGGUUAAUGAGGCGAACCGGGGGAACUGAAACAUCUAAGUACCCCGAGGAAAAGAAAUCAACCGAGAUUCCCCCAGUAGCGGCGAGCGAACGGGGAGCAGCCCAGAGCCUGAAUCAGUGUGUGUGUUAGUGGAAGCGUCUGGAAAGGCGCGCGAUACAGGGUGACAGCCCCGUACACAAAAAUGCACAUGCUGUGAGCUCGAUGAGUAGGGCGGGACACGUGGUAUCCUGUCUGAAUAUGGGGGGACCAUCCUCCAAGGCUAAAUACUCCUGACUGACCGAUAGUGAACCAGUACCGUGAGGGAAAGGCGAAAAGAACCCCGGCGAGGGGAGUGAAAAAGAACCUGAAACCGUGUACGUACAAGCAGUGGGAGCACGCUUCGGCGUGUGACUGCGUACCUUUUGUAUAAUGGGUCAGCGACUUAUAUUCUGUAGCAAGGUUAACCGAAUAGGGGAGCCGAAGGGAAACCGAGUCUUAACUGGGCGUUAAGUUGCAGGGUAUAGACCCGAAACCCGGUGAUCUAGCCAUGGGCAGGUUGAAGGUUGGGUAACACUAACUGGAGGACCGAACCGACUAAUGUUGAAAAAUUAGCGGAUGACUUGUGGCUGGGGGUGAAAGGCCAAUCAAACCGGGAGAUAGCUGGUUCUCCCCGAAAGCUAUUUAGGUAGCGCCUCGUGAAUUCAUCUCCGGGGGUAGAGCACUGUUUCGGCAAGGGGGUCAUCCCGACUUACCAACCCGAUGCAAACUGCGAAUACCGGAGAAUGUUAUCACGGGAGACACACGGCGGGUGCUAACGUCCGUCGUGAAGAGGGAAACAACCCAGACCGCCAGCUAAGGUCCCAAAGUCAUGGUUAAGUGGGAAACGAUGUGGGAAGGCCCAGACAGCCAGGAUGUUGGCUUAGAAGCAGCCAUCAUUUAAAGAAAGCGUAAUAGCUCACUGGUCGAGUCGGCCUGCGCGGAAGAUGUAACGGGGCUAAACCAUGCACCGAAGCUGCGGCAGCGACGCUGAUGCGUUGUUGGGUAGGGGAGCGUUCUGUAAGCCUGCGAAGGUGUGCUGUGAGGCAUGCUGGAGGUAUCAGAAGUGCGAAUGCUGACAUAAGUAACGAUAAAGCGGGUGAAAAGCCCGCUCGCCGGAAGACCAAGGGUUCCUGUCCAACGUUAAUCGGGGCAGGGUGAGUCGACCCCUAAGGCGAGGCCGAAAGGCGUAGUCGAUGGGAAACAGGUUAAUAUUCCUGUACUUGGUGUUACUGCGAAGGGGGGACGGAGAAGGCUAUGUUGGCCGGGCGACGGUUGUCCCGGUUUAAGCGUGUAGGCUGGUUUUCCAGGCAAAUCCGGAAAAUCAAGGCUGAGGCGUGAUGACGAGGCACUACGGUGCUGAAGCAACAAAUGCCCUGCUUCCAGGAAAAGCCUCUAAGCAUCAGGUAACAUCAAAUCGUACCCCAAACCGACACAGGUGGUCAGGUAGAGAAUACCAAGGCGCUUGAGAGAACUCGGGUGAAGGAACUAGGCAAAAUGGUGCCGUAACUUCGGGAGAAGGCACGCUGAUAUGUAGGUGAAGUCCCUCGCGGAUGGAGCUGAAAUCAGUCGAAGAUACCAGCUGGCUGCAACUGUUUAUUAAAAACACAGCACUGUGCAAACACGAAAGUGGACGUAUACGGUGUGACGCCUGCCCGGUGCCGGAAGGUUAAUUGAUGGGGUUAGCCGCAAGGCGAAGCUCUUGAUCGAAGCCCCGGUAAACGGCGGCCGUAACUAUAACGGUCCUAAGGUAGCGAAAUUCCUUGUCGGGUAAGUUCCGACCUGCACGAAUGGCGUAAUGAUGGCCAGGCUGUCUCCACCCGAGACUCAGUGAAAUUGAACUCGCUGUGAAGAUGCAGUGUACCCGCGGCAAGACGGAAAGACCCCGUGAACCUUUACUAUAGCUUGACACUGAACAUUGAGCCUUGAUGUGUAGGAUAGGUGGGAGGCUUUGAAGUGUGGACGCCAGUCUGCAUGGAGCCGACCUUGAAAUACCACCCUUUAAUGUUUGAUGUUCUAACGUUGACCCGUAAUCCGGGUUGCGGACAGUGUCUGGUGGGUAGUUUGACUGGGGCGGUCUCCUCCUAAAGAGUAACGGAGGAGCACGAAGGUUGGCUAAUCCUGGUCGGACAUCAGGAGGUUAGUGCAAUGGCAUAAGCCAGCUUGACUGCGAGCGUGACGGCGCGAGCAGGUGCGAAAGCAGGUCAUAGUGAUCCGGUGGUUCUGAAUGGAAGGGCCAUCGCUCAACGGAUAAAAGGUACUCCGGGGAUAACAGGCUGAUACCGCCCAAGAGUUCAUAUCGACGGCGGUGUUUGGCACCUCGAUGUCGGCUCAUCACAUCCUGGGGCUGAAGUAGGUCCCAAGGGUAUGGCUGUUCGCCAUUUAAAGUGGUACGCGAGCUGGGUUUAGAACGUCGUGAGACAGUUCGGUCCCUAUCUGCCGUGGGCGCUGGAGAACUGAGGGGGGCUGCUCCUAGUACGAGAGGACCGGAGUGGACGCAUCACUGGUGUUCGGGUUGUCAUGCCAAUGGCACUGCCCGGUAGCUAAAUGCGGAAGAGAUAAGUGCUGAAAGCAUCUAAGCACGAAACUUGCCCCGAGAUGAGUUCUCCCUGACUCCUUGAGAGUCCUGAAGGAACGUUGAAGACGACGACGUUGAUAGGCCGGGUGUGUAAGCGCAGCGAUGCGUUGAGCUAACCGGUACUAAUGAACCGUGAGGCUUAACCUU